UCACAGCUCAUGAGCAUAAGCUUGUGUAUAUAAAUAUAUACAGUUUUAAUCCACCUUUUUCUUUACUGUAGUUAUUUUAUAUAAUCUCUCUGUUUCAGAGACUGCAGUGGAACCUUGUGGUUGGGUUAAGUUACCUGAACCUAGGCCAUAUUUACUGUAUAUCAUUGCUUGUGGUACUGCUAUAUGUUACAAUGAACAGGUCAUUUUUUUUUUAAAACUAGACCACCUUUAAAACAAAUGCAAGUAAUGUAAUAAACUUAAUUCAAAUAUGUACAAAAGUAUAUUUUGGGGAUUUUAAGGCACACUGGAUUAUAAGGUGCAUUAAGCGACACUAUUUAGAAUGCCUACAUCUAAGUGUCAUCAUGUUUUUUUUUGUAAUAGAGAAGAGCCUAAGUAAACAAAACUGUAAUUCUUAAAAAAAACACGUUUCUUUCACAUUUAAACAAGUCCUGGAUAGUAAUCUUCACAGAUUUCUCUCCUGAAUCCUGUUUUUUUGGGUGAGUAAAGCUCUUGGAGUUCCAGUAUUUCAUCUAAGGGUGAAUUUUCAGCAAAGGUCUGCAUUGUCUCUGUGCAUUAUUGUAAAUGAGCGAUGACACUGUCCAGACUCCUAUAAAAUAGAUAUGGAGGCAGUGGGAUGACACAGAGAGGAGGUUGAAGCGUGUGAGACUCUGUUAUAUUAAGUUACAGUGUAAUAACAUUUCUUUGGCCAGGGGCAGGAAUAGUACCAGGUGCAGCUGGAGUAAUGUGAUUGAGCGCUAGGCGAGCCUAUCUAAGCUCUUCCGCACCCACAGCCAGCCACUCGAAACCAGACUCCAAAGGUGCUGCUCUCAGGAACAGUAAGAAAUGGCUUAAUUGGAUGUUUCCUGUCUCAGAAAUGUAAUAAAAGGUGUAUCUCGCUGCUUCGCAACCAGGCCUGCUCUACUUGGCAGCUUAUGUAAGUAUAACUUACCCCCCCCCCCCCCCCAAAACUUUCUGAACAUUUCCUUCCCAAUGAAACAGAAGAGCACUCCACUUAUAUAUCCGCUUGGAGAGACGCCCAGAAGCUCGUGAAAGAAGUUCUGAAACCCCAAUCUGUCAGAGUCUCAGUGACUGCGAAGGACGACACCAAGGGUCUGAAAAAACACUCCUCAACAGAUCGGAGCUUUAAAUGUUCAGAACUGUGUAAACCAAAA
This 1172-nucleotide long non-coding RNA is filed under the name Astyanax mexicanus (Mexican tetra). Its description in RNAcentral is "lncRNA (ENSAMXG00005004974.1)". Lineage: Eukaryota; Metazoa; Chordata; Actinopteri; Characiformes; Acestrorhamphidae. The record is from RNAcentral.